AGGCGCGCAAAUUACCCACUCCCGGCACGGGGAGGUAGUGACGAAAAAUAACGAUACGGGACUCAUCCGAGGCCCCGUAAUCGGAAUGAAUACACUUUAAAUCCUUUAAUGAGGAUCCAUUGGAGGGCAAGUCUGGUGCCAGCAGCCGCGGUAAUUCCAGCUCCAAUAGCGUAUAUUAAAGUUGUUGCGGUUAAAAAGCUCGUAGUNGAAUUNGUGUCUUAUACUGUUGGUUCAUUAUUUUAUAAUGUUAACUGACACGUUAUAAGAUGUCCUACCGGUGGAUUUAGCUGAGGUAAAACUUGGCGGUCCAAUCAAAUCCUAUCGCGGUGCUCUUAACUGAGUGUCGAGGUAGGCCGGUACGUUUANUUUGAACAAAUUAGAGUGCCUUAAAGCAGGCUAUUAAUGCCUGAAUACUGUGUGACAUGGAAUAAUAGAAUAGGACCUCGNUUCUAUUUUGUUGGUUUUCGGAACUCCGNGGUAAUGAUUAAUANGGAC
RNAcentral lists this ribosomal RNA (495 nucleotides) under Toxoneuron abdominalis. Its description in RNAcentral is "bacterial SSU rRNA". It matches the Rfam family "Eukaryotic small subunit ribosomal RNA", at positions 430 to 879 of the family's 1831-position model. Lineage: Eukaryota; Metazoa; Arthropoda; Insecta; Hymenoptera; Braconidae. The record is from RNAcentral.